AGUUGAAAAACUCCCAAACCACUGUGAACAUACCCGUAACCGUUGCUUCGGCGGGCGGCCCCAGGGAGGGGCCGCAGCCUCCAAUUGCGGAGGCGCCCCGCCGGAGAGCACCAAAACAUACCUAUAUUUUUGUGGCCCUUCUGAGCGAUAGCGCAAAUAAUCAAAACUUUCAACAACGGAUCUCUUGGUUCUGGCAUCGAUGAAGAACGCAGCGAAAUGCGAUAAGUAAUGUGAAUUGCAGACUUCAGUGAAUCAUCGAAUCUUUGAACGCACAUUGCGCCCGCCAGCAUUCUGGCGGGCAUGCCUGUCCGAGCGUCAUUUCAACCCUCAAGCUCUGCUUGGUGUUGGGGCACUACGGUUGACGUAGGCCCUGAAAAUUAGUGGCGGGCUCGCUGUGGGUCCGGGCGUAGUAGCGAUAUCUCGCCUGCGGCCCCCAGCAAGCUCCAGCCGUUAAACCCCCCAAAUUACAGAAGGUUGACCUCGGAUCA
RNAcentral lists this ribosomal RNA (488 nucleotides) under Phialemonium atrogriseum. RNAcentral's name for it is "partial 5.8S ribosomal RNA". The stretch from base 165 to 318 matches the Rfam family "5.8S ribosomal RNA". The record is from RNAcentral. Lineage: Eukaryota; Fungi; Ascomycota; Sordariomycetes; Cephalothecales; Cephalothecaceae.